AACCCUUUUCAGAGGGAACUGGUGAAGCCCUAGGUUUCUAUCUUACUAGAGACUUCACCACACAGGGCUGUCUUAAAAAAAUAUAAGAAUAAGAAAAGACAAAAACAAAAGCCCCCGUAAAAACCUACAAGAAUACCUGGAAGUCAGACAUCCUGUGUUUCCCUUUCCUACCCCGAAUGACUCGGAGUAGGACAAACACAGUUGCAAGCCUGCUUUCUUAUCUUGGCAAUUGCUUCUUUUCACUCUUCUGGGGUUUACAACAGUUGGCCCAGGGGUGUGAGGGAACAGAAGGGAGCAGCAUCUGCUGGGACAGAGGGCCCUACACAAAGAUUGGAGUCCAGGUGUCGUGAUGGAACCCGGGGGAGAUGAGAGGGUAAGACCCUCGUGUACUGCAUCUCACAUCACCCUCCAAUGUCCUGUGUCUUCUUUGUCAAGGCAGACUAAGGGUGACCUAAUUUCCAACACGCAGGCCCAGAAACCUUGAAACUGACCAGCUCGAGCCUCCUUACAACUGCUGAUCCCCAAGGGCGGGCCAUGCAUGGCUGUAUCUCCCAUCCAGAGAACAUCUACAAAGCUCACGCAGCCAUGGGGUCUCAUAGUUUGACCUGAAACUGAUGGUGACUCCUGUCACCAACAGGAGUGGUCAAAACAUCCUUUCUGGAGUAUUAAGUGUUUGUAGAACCCUGGACAUUUAUGGUGGCAGAG
This 705-nucleotide long non-coding RNA is filed under the name Homo sapiens (human). Its description in RNAcentral is "HSALNT0160936". The record is from RNAcentral. Lineage: Eukaryota; Metazoa; Chordata; Mammalia; Primates; Hominidae.